This 497-nucleotide ribosomal RNA is filed under the name uncultured bacterium. Its description in RNAcentral is "partial 16S ribosomal RNA". It matches the Rfam family "Bacterial small subunit ribosomal RNA", at positions 28 to 507 of the family's 1533-position model. The record is from RNAcentral.
GAUGAACGCUGGCGGCGUGCCUAAUACAUGCGAGUCGAGCGAACGGACGAGAAGCUUGCUUCUCUGAUGUUAGCGGCGGACGGGUGAGUAACACGCGGAUAACCUACCUAUAAGACUGGGAUAACUUCGGGAAACCGUAGCUAAUACCGGAUAAUAUUUUGAACCGCAUGGUUCAAAAGUGAAAGACGGUCUUGCUGUCACUUAUAGAUGGAUCCGCGCUGCAUUAGCUAGUUGGUAAGGUAACGGCUUACCAAGGCAACGAUGCAUAGCCGACCUGAGAGGGUGAUCGGCCACACUGGAACUGAGACACGGUCCAGACUCCUACGGGAGGCAGCAGUAGGGAAUCUUCCGCAAUGGGCGAAAGCCUGACGGAGCAACGCCGCGUGAGUGAUGAAGGUCUUCGGAUCGUAAAACUCUGUUAUUAGGGAAGAACAUAUGUGUAAGUAACUGUGCACAUCUUGACGGUACCUAAUCAGAAAGCCACGGCUAACUACGUG